GACGAACGCUGGCGGCGUGCUUAACACAUGCAAGUCGAACGGAAAGGCCCCUUUGGGGGUACUCGAGUGGCGAACGGGUGAGUAACACGUGAGUAACCUGCCCUUGACUUCGGGAUAACUUCAGGAAACUGGGGCUAAUACCGGAUAGGAAUCCUUGCUGCAUGGUGGGGGUUGGAAAGCUUCGGCGGUUUUGGAUGGACUCGCGGCUUAUCAGCUUGUUGGUGGGGUAGUGGCUUACCAAGGCUUUGACGGGUAGCCGGCCUGAGAGGGCGACCGGCCACAUUGGGACUGAGAUACGGCCCAGACUCCUACGGGAGGCAGCAGUGGGGAAUAUUGCACAAUGGGCGGAAGCCUGAUGCAGCAACGCCGCGUGCGGGAUGACGGCCUCGGGUUGUAAACCGCUUUCAGCAGGGGCGAAGCUUGUGGUGACGGUACCUGCAGAAGAAGCACCGGCUAACUACGUG
This 464-nucleotide ribosomal RNA is filed under the name uncultured bacterium. Its description in RNAcentral is "partial 16S ribosomal RNA". It matches the Rfam family "Bacterial small subunit ribosomal RNA", at positions 28 to 507 of the family's 1533-position model. The record is from RNAcentral.